ACAUGUAUGGGGUACAUCUGGCUAUGACAUCCAUCACCCCUCAGUUGCCAGAGAUGAUUGGGCCAAUGUGUCUAGCUGAGCAGGCAUCUCUUCCUCCUAUACUGUUCCUUGUGUAUUUCUCCCAAAGUUUCACAAUAGGUCAUAAAGGAUGGGCAUCCCAAAUACAGGACACAUCUCUAGACAAAGGUAAAGAAGAACUACUCUCCCCUGCUAGAAUCCCCAAAUACCCUCUCAAAGACUUAAAACUCAAAGUGCUUCUAGUGAUACUCUUAUGGCCUACAAAGCUACAAUUAGGAAGAAGUUAAAACUUACUUUUUUAAAAAUUAGAUAUUUUCUUUUUUU
Molecule: non-coding RNA, 342 nt
Organism: Mus musculus (house mouse)
Lineage: Eukaryota; Metazoa; Chordata; Mammalia; Rodentia; Muridae
Source: Rfam